AGAAUCAACGCUGGCGGCGUGCCUAACACAUGCAAGUCGCACGAGAAAGGGUAGCAAUACCUGAGUACAGUGGCGCACGGGUGAGUAACACGUGAAUAAUCUACCUCCGAGUGGGGAAUAACUGAGAGAAAUCUUAGCUAAUACCGCAUAAUACCCACGGGUCAAAGCAGCAAUGCGCUUGGAGAGGAGUUCGCGGCAGAUUAGUUAGUUGGCGGGGUAAUGGCCCACCAAGACGAUGAUCUGUAUCCGGCCUGAGAGGGCGCACGGACACACUGGAACUGAAACACGGUCCAGACUCCUACGGGAGGCAGCAGUGGGGAAUUUUGCGCAAUGGGGAAACCCUGACGCAGCAACGCCGCGUGGAGGAUGAAGCCCCUUGGGGUGUAAACUCCUUUCGAUCGGGAAGAUAAUGACGGUACCGAUAUAAGAAGCCCCGGCUAACUCGCGCCGAGCAGCCGC
Molecule: ribosomal RNA, 459 nt
Filed under: uncultured bacterium
Lineage: Bacteria
Description: SSU rRNA
Rfam family: Bacterial small subunit ribosomal RNA
Source: RNAcentral